This 744-nucleotide ribosomal RNA is filed under the name uncultured bacterium. RNAcentral's name for it is "bacterial SSU rRNA". It matches the Rfam family "Bacterial small subunit ribosomal RNA", at positions 18 to 724 of the family's 1533-position model. The record is from RNAcentral.
CCUGGCUCAGAUUGAACGCUGGCGGCAGGCCUAACACAUGCAAGUCGAGCGGAAACGGCAGCAUUGAAGCUUCGGUGGAUUUGCUGGACGUCGAGCGGCGGACGGGUGAGUAACGGCUGGGAACCUGCCCUGACGAGGGGGGUAACCGUUGGAAACGACGGCUAAUACCGCAUAAUGUCUUAGUUCAUUACGAGCUGGGACCAAAGGUGGCCUCUACAUGUAAGCUAUCGCGUUGGGAUGGGCCCAGUUAGGAUUAGCUAGUUGGUAAGGUAAUGGCUUACCAAGGCGACGAUCCUUAGCUGGUUUGAGAGGAUGAUCAGCCACACUGGGACUGAGACACGGCCCAGACUCCUACGGGAGGCAGCAGUGGGGAAUAUUGCACAAUGGGGGAGACCCUGAUGCAGCCAUGCCGCGUGUGUGAAGAAGGCCUUCGGGUUGUAAAGCACUUUCAGCAGUGAGGAAGGUGGUGUACUUAAUACGUGCACGGCUUGACGUUAGCUGCAGAAGAAGCACCGGCUAACUCCGUGCCAGCAGCCGCGGUAAUACGGAGGGUGCGAGCGUUAAUCGGAAUUACUGGGCGUAAAGCGCAUGCAGGCGGUUUGUUAAGUCAGAUGUGAAAGCCCGGGGCUCAACCUCGGAACCGCAUUUGAAACUGGCAGGCUAGAGUCUUGUAGAGGGGGGUAGAAUUUCAGGUGUAGCGGUGAAAUGCGUAGAGAUCUGAAGGAAUACCAGUGGCGAAGGCGG